RNAcentral lists this ribosomal RNA (449 nucleotides) under uncultured Synechococcus sp. RNAcentral describes it as "bacterial SSU rRNA". It matches the Rfam family "Bacterial small subunit ribosomal RNA", at positions 8 to 505 of the family's 1533-position model. Lineage: Bacteria; Bacillati; Cyanobacteriota; Cyanophyceae; Synechococcales; Synechococcaceae. The record is from RNAcentral.
AGGCUUUGAUCCUGGCUCAGGAUGAACGCUGGCGGCGUGCUUAACACAUGCAAGUCGAACGAACCUUCGGGUUAGUGGCGGACGGGUGAGUAACGCGUGAGAAUCUGCCCUCAGGAGGGGGAUAACGGCUGGAAACGGCCGCUAAUACCCCAUAUGCCGAGAGGUGAGAUGAGUUAUCGCGUGAGGAUGAGCUCGCGUCUGAUUAGCUAGUUGGUGGGGUAAGAGCUACCAAGGCAUCGAUCAGUAGCUGGUCUGAGAGGAUGAUCAGCCACACUGGGACUGAGACACGGCCCAGACUCUACGGGAGGCAGCAGUGGGGAAUUUUCCGCAAUGGGCGAAAGCCUGACGGAGCAACGCCGCGUGAGGGAUGAAGGCCUCUGGGCUGUAAACCUCUUUUAUCAAGGAAGAAGAUCUGACGGUACUUGAUGAAUAAGCCACGGCUAUAUCCG